AGUGAACGUUGGCGGCGUGGAUUAGGCAUGCAAGUCGAGCGAGAACCGUAGCAGUACGGGGACAGCGGCGAAAGGGACAGUAAUGUGUAGGUACCUACCCCGAGGUCUGGGAUAGCUGCGGGAAACUGCAGGUAAUACCGGAUAAUGUCUUCGGACCAAAGGUGUGAUUCCACCUUGGGAGGGGCCUGCAUCCUAUUAGCUAGUUGGCGGGGUAAUGGCCCACCAAGGCGACGAUGGGUAGCGGGUGUGAGAGCACGACCCGCGUCAUUGGGACUGAGACACUGCCCAGACACCUACGGGUGGCUGCAGUCGAGGACCUUCGGCAAUGGGCGAAAGCCUGACCGAGCGACGCCGCGUGCGGGAUGAAGGCCUUCGGGUUGUAAACCGCUGUCGUAGAGGAGGAAAUGCAGGUGGGUUCUCCCAUCUGUUUGACCUAUUCUAGGAGGAAGUACGGGCUAAGUUCGUGCCAGCCGCCGCUGUAA
RNAcentral lists this ribosomal RNA (482 nucleotides) under uncultured bacterium. RNAcentral describes it as "partial 16S ribosomal RNA". It matches the Rfam family "Bacterial small subunit ribosomal RNA", at positions 28 to 523 of the family's 1533-position model. The record is from RNAcentral.